AAAGAAUUAAUUUAUAAAAAUAUUAGUAUGUCAUACUAAAUAUAUUAGAAAUACACCUAAUAUUCUUUU
This 69-nucleotide transfer RNA is filed under the name Siobla xizangensis. Its description in RNAcentral is "tRNA-Asp". Lineage: Eukaryota; Metazoa; Arthropoda; Insecta; Hymenoptera; Tenthredinidae. The record is from RNAcentral.